UCACCACUCUGGCCUUCUGGCUUAGAUCAAGUGUAGUAUCUGUUCUUUUAGUCUUAAUCGACUAAACGCUGUCACCGACAGCUCUAUCGAUUAUUCAAUUUUUGCCGCCCGGGUGGCCUGCUCCUCUGCUUGCACGAGUAGCCACAAGAUGAUCUUGCCAUUACAGCACUGGCUUGUGUCGUCGCGGGAU
RNAcentral lists this small nuclear RNA (190 nucleotides) under Rhizoctonia solani 123E. RNAcentral's name for it is "U2 spliceosomal RNA". It matches the Rfam family "U2 spliceosomal RNA". Rfam says of the family: U2 is a small nuclear RNA (snRNA) component of the spliceosome (involved in pre-mRNA splicing). Complementary binding between U2 snRNA (in an area lying towards the 5' end but 3' to hairpin I) and the branchpoint sequence (BPS) of the intron results the bulging out of an unpaired adenosine, on the BPS, which initiates a nucleophilic attack at the intronic 5' splice site, thus starting the first of two transesterification reactions that mediate splicing. Lineage: Eukaryota; Fungi; Basidiomycota; Agaricomycetes; Cantharellales; Ceratobasidiaceae. The record is from Rfam by way of RNAcentral.